This 69-nucleotide transfer RNA is filed under the name Toxocara canis (dog roundworm). It matches the Rfam family "tRNA". Rfam says of the family: Transfer RNA (tRNA) molecules are approximately 80 nucleotides in length. Their secondary structure includes four short double-helical elements and three loops (D, anti-codon, and T loops). Lineage: Eukaryota; Metazoa; Nematoda; Chromadorea; Rhabditida; Toxocaridae. The record is from Rfam by way of RNAcentral.
GUGGCAAUAGCUCAGUGGUAGGGCCCGCUUCGCGUGUGGGAAACCCGGGUUCGAUUCUCGGUUGCUUCC